GUUGAUCCUGGCUUAGGAUGAACGCUAGCUACAGGCUUAACACAUGCAAGUCGCGGGGCAGCAUAUAGAUAGCUUGCUAUUAUGAUGGCGACCGGCGCACGGGUGAGUAACGCGUAUCCAACCUUCCCCAUAGUAGGGUAUAGCCCGGCGAAAGUCGGAUUAAUCCCCUAUGUUGUUGAAGCGGACAUCUAAUCAAACCAAAGAUUCAUCGCUAUGGGAUGGGGAUGCGUCUGAUUAGGUGCAGGCGGGGUAACGGCCCACCUGGCCGACGAUCAGUAGGGGUUCUGAGAGGAAGGUCCCCCACACUGGUACUGAGACACGGACCAGACUCCUACGGGAGGCAGCAGUGAGGAAUAUUGGUCAAUGGGCGCGAGCCUGAACCAGCCAAGUAGCGUGCCAGGAUGACGGCCCUACGGGUUGUAAACUGCUUUUAUGCGGGGAUAAAGUGCGGCACGUGUGCCGUUUUGCAGGUACCGCAUGAAUAAGGACCGGCUAAUUCCGUGCCAGCCGCUGC
This 514-nucleotide ribosomal RNA is filed under the name uncultured bacterium. RNAcentral describes it as "bacterial SSU rRNA". It matches the Rfam family "Bacterial small subunit ribosomal RNA", at positions 11 to 518 of the family's 1533-position model. The record is from RNAcentral.